GAUGAACGCUGGCGGUAUGCCUAACACAUGCAAGUCGAACGGAGUUCUUCGGAACUUAGUGGCGGACGGGUGAGUAACACGUGAGAACCUACCUUCAGAAUGGGGACAACAGUUGGAAACGACUGCUAAUACCCAAUGUGCCGAAAGGUGAAAGAUUUAUCGUCUGAAGAUGGGCUCGCGUCUGAUUAGCUAGAUGGUGGGGUAAGAGCCUACCAUGGCAACGAUCAGUAGCUGGUCUGAGAGGAUGAGCAGCCACACUGGGACUGAGACACGGCCCAGACUCCUACGGGAGGCAGCAGUGGGGGAAUUUUCCGCAAUGGGCGAAAGCCUGACGGAGCAAUACCGCGUGAGGGAGGAAGGUCCUUGGAUUGUAAACCUCUUUUAUCAGGGAAGAAGUUCUGACGGUACCUGAUGAAUAAGCAUCGGCUAACUCCGUGCCAGCCGCCGCGGUAAU
Molecule: ribosomal RNA, 454 nt
Filed under: uncultured bacterium
Lineage: Bacteria
Description: bacterial SSU rRNA
Rfam family: Bacterial small subunit ribosomal RNA
Source: RNAcentral